CAGCAGCCGCGGGAAUACAGAGGUCUCAAGCGUUGUUCGGAAUCACUGGGCGUAAAGGGUGCGUAGGUGGCGUGGUAAGUCAGAUGUGAAAGCCCGGGGCUCAACCUCGGAAUUGCAUCCGAUACUACCAUGCUAGAGUACUGAAGAGGUGACUAGAAUUCUCGGUGUAGCAGUGAAAUGCGUAGAUAUCGAGAGGAAUACCAAAGGCGAAGGCAGGUCACUGGGCAGUUACUGACACUGAGGCACGAAGGCUAGGGGAGCAAACGGGAUUAGAUACCCGAGUAGUCCCUGUCUCUUAUAC
RNAcentral lists this ribosomal RNA (301 nucleotides) under uncultured bacterium. RNAcentral describes it as "partial 16S ribosomal RNA". It matches the Rfam family "Bacterial small subunit ribosomal RNA", at positions 509 to 807 of the family's 1533-position model. The record is from RNAcentral.